UUAUCUUGUCCUGUUUUCAUCAUGUUCAAAGUGGACCACAGAAUGAUCUGUACCUGUCUUCCAGGACCUGGUAAGGGCAGUAAUAAUGAAGACAAAGCUUCUGUUACUGGGAUUUAGAAAAAGACUUUCCUGGCAAGCACCAAAUGGCUGUGCAAGGAAUGGAGACACAAUAGGCUCUCAAAACAUUUUUGUUUGGUGUUGAAUUGAUGGACAUAAGAGAGAGCUCAGGCUAACUUGGAAGUCAUUGAUGUAUAAGCACAGGGCAACUGGUUGUUACAGAAAAGACAGCAUUCAAGAAAUCAUGGAGGGAGAACGCAGGAACCUGGUGCCACAAAUGCAGAUUAUGUGUUGCUCUAGGUUCUUUUGCCUUGACUCCAUAUCUACCCCCUCAGUCUCUCCAGGAUACAAUGUGGAAAACAUGGCCACUGACAAGUUGGCAUAACUGCCAGAAUAGCUUUAUUCAUCAAAAAGACAGGGACAGUCCUACUUACUACUAGUUCUAAAAUUCCCAGAAAAAGACUGCUGUUGGACUGACUUUUCAAUUGCAGGUACCAACCCUUGAUCCAAUCCAUUGUGAUCGGUGUCAGAAGCUUCAUGAGUACAGUGAGAAUGCACCCCAGCGUGCCUAGAAUGGUCCUGUUUACAACUCUCAGCCUAACUUAAUCAUCCACAGCACCCUCCCUCACUCUCAAAUAAUGUGCUCUAGUUUAGGUAAUAAAUUAUAGAGUACUUCCAUAGGAACAAAAUGAUCCUUUCAUGGUCACCAUGCAGUUGGUGAUUGACUUCCAGAAAUAUGCUUCGGGUGACAGAAGUAGAAAGUGGCUGGAAAUCUAAGAUGACCAAAAGGUGGGAGAACCCUCCAGGAAGCCAAUUGCCUGUGUCCAUCCCCUUGUCCAUGCCAUCCCCAGUGCACCUCUUCCAGACAUGACACCUAGAGUUAGGCAGCAGAGCCUGGCAUACUUCAAGCUUCACCCAUAGGUGUGCUGAUCUCUUGAAAGCCUCGCUCUUCUCAUGAUACCACAGGCAGGGGACUGAGUCAAUGAUAAACUAUAGAAUGAGUAUCAAUCUGAGGUUCUCAGCUAACUGUCUCCUCCACUUUAAAGGUUUUCCUCCCUUUGACAAGCUCUGCACUUGGAUUUCUCCUGAGUGAAAUACUUGGUGAGGGUUUCACUGACAGACUUCUUCCCAGGCCCCAGGAUGAUCUUAAGAUUCCUGGAAAUAAACUAAGAAGUAAAUUUAAGGCAGCGUCUUACACUUUCAUCUAAUUCUUUACCCAAAAUGUGUGAACCUGAAGGCAACUCAAAAUUCUGAGUGAAUUUCCAGAUUUUUCUUGAAGUGACAAAAAACAACCACAGGCACCACCCAGCCAGCACAGAGAGACAUUUGCAGCUUUCUCCACUCAUUUGCAUUGCUUUCUUUAACACUUUUCUGCCCUCAUUUUUCACUGGACAUUCUCUUGUUUUGUAUUUUUCCUCUGUCUCAUUUCAUUCUCUUUGUCCUUUUUAAAAUUCAUCUGCCUCUUUUCAGUCACAUCUUCAUCCCCUCCUUUUAUUCCUUUCUUUCUUCUCUUCCUCCCUCCUCACUCUCUCUGUCGUUUUUCCUUGAUGAAACACACUGAAUGUGAAGUCGAUUUGUCCCUGGACGUAGCUGUUGCUUGGGAGAAGACACACCCCAGGCUCUGAAGACUCUCUACUUCAAUACUGAAGGAUCUCGGCCUCAGCACUGACAUGAGUUAUGUAAGAUGGUGGCCCCUGAAAGAGCACUAAACAAGUUACAUUA
RNAcentral lists this long non-coding RNA (1779 nucleotides) under Rhinopithecus bieti (black snub-nosed monkey). Its description in RNAcentral is "lncRNA (ENSRBIG00000046523.1)". The record is from RNAcentral. Lineage: Eukaryota; Metazoa; Chordata; Mammalia; Primates; Cercopithecidae.